This 762-nucleotide ribosomal RNA is filed under the name uncultured fungus. RNAcentral describes it as "eukaryotic LSU rRNA". It matches the Rfam family "Eukaryotic large subunit ribosomal RNA", at positions 30 to 821 of the family's 3401-position model. The record is from RNAcentral. Lineage: Eukaryota; Fungi.
GAACUUAAGCAUAUCAAUAAGCGGAGGAAAAGAAACCAACAGGGAUUGCCUCAGUAACGGCGAGUGAAGCGGCAACAGCUCAAAUUUGAAAUCUGGCCGCAAGGUCCGAGUUGUAAUUUGUAGAGGAUGCUUUUGGCGAGGUGCCUUCCGAGUUCCCUGGAACGGGACGCCAUAGAGGGUGAGAGCCCCGUACGGUAGGACCACCAAGCCUCUGUAAAGCUCCUUCGACGAGUCGAGUAGUUUGGGAAUGCUGCUCUAAAUGGGAGGUGUACGUCUUCUAAAGCUAAAUACCGGCCAGAGACCGAUAGCGCACAAGUAGAGUGAUCGAAAGAUGAAAAGCACUUUGAAAAGAGGGUUAAAAAGUACGUGAAAUUGUUGAAAGGGAAGCAUUCAUGACCAGACUUGGGCUUGGUUGAACAUCCGGCGUUCUCGCCGGUGCACUCUGCCAGUCCAGGCCAGCAUCAGUUUGCCCCGGGGGAUAAAGGCGGCGGGAAUGUGGCUCCCUUCGGGGAGUGUUAUAGCCCGUCGUGUAAUGCCCUGGGGCGGACUGAGGAGCGCGCUUCGGCACGGAUGCUGGCGUAAUGGUCAUCAAUGACCCGUCUUGAAACACGGACCAAGGAGUCGUCUUCGUAUGCGAGUGUUCGGGUGUCAAACCCCUACGCGUAAUGAAAGUGAACGUAGGUGAGAGCUUCGGCGCAUCACCGACCGAUCCUGAUGUUCUCGGAUGGAUUUGAGUAAGAGCAUACGGGGCCGGACCCGAAA